GGUAUACAUAAUGGUUAAAUAAAUUAUCUUUAACUAAAUAGAAUGUUUUAGAGGGAAAAAGACUAAGAAAGGACAAUGCCAUGUGGUGGUUUGUUGAACGAUCCAUGCCACGGGCCAAGGGAAUUCACACACCAUUCGUAAGGAAUUCCCCAACGUGUCUCUGUUUCAGAGAACCGUAACAUAACAAACAAGAGCAUAUAAUAACGUUAAAAUAGCACACUCAUUGAACCAAUCAACGUUGGAGGUAAAAGGAUAGCAGUAGUGAUAACAAUAAUUACGAAGAAUACUCACUGGUGUGUCAAUCACGCGCGUGUAAGCCAACACGCCGAUGAUGACCACGACGGGGAAGAGGAGAACCACCACGGAUCGCGGCAGAGCUUUUAUGACCGGCAACCAGAUUCCAUCCUUACUUGAAUGACGAAAAAGCCCCGAUCCACUGUCCUCUUGCAUCUGCGCGAUUACAGUGUCGUUGUUCUCUCUCCUUCUCUGUUUCUUUGCCUCUGUUUAUGUCUCUUUGCCACUUCACUCUCACCCUUUUGAAGUUCUGAGCUUCUUCUAAAUGGAAAGUUUCAAAGACGAAAACUUUGGAAUGAGUUUUCAAUUGGGUAGCUGAGUUUUGCCCAAUUGGAUGUAUUUCUGUGUUGCAAAAGUUGAAAAUCAAUGCACUCUUUCUCUGCGCCGAAGAAGAAGAACGAAAGAGAAAAUUGAAAAUGAGGGCAGCUAGAUGAAAGAUCAAAAGUGAGGGAAACGUGUAAAAAGUUUAAGAUUGGAGAGAAAGAGGAGCGAAUGUGGAUACAACAUGGAAAGGACAAAAGGCUAUGAAUCUCGUGAGUACACAGCUGUGUGGGAUUUUGUCUCAGUGAUUGUUAUAUAUACUGUUAUGAAUAAUGUGAAAGGAAAAUGGGGCAAACUAAGAAAAAGGGUCCUUAUAUGUAUAUCUUUCUUUGAUGGCCAC
RNAcentral lists this small RNA (955 nucleotides) under Vigna angularis var. angularis. Its description in RNAcentral is "Non-protein coding transcript". The record is from RNAcentral. Lineage: Eukaryota; Viridiplantae; Streptophyta; Magnoliopsida; Fabales; Fabaceae.